GUCAGUUUCAUCAUUUUGAAUGCAUGUUGAAUGCAUAUGAAAACAUCAGUAACUUCCCAUUUGAAAUAUGUCGGUUUCACCCUAUUCAUUCAUUCAUGUUGUAACUUCCCAUUUGAAAUAUGUCGGUUUCACCCUAUUCAUUCAUCCAUGUUGUAACUCCCUAUUCAAUGUAUUUAUGAGCAAGCUCCUCCUAUAUUGGUAUAAAUAGAGGAUCACUCUCGGCUAGAAACAACAACAAAAAGAAAACACAACAAAGAAAAAAAAAAGUUCAGUUUCCUCCUCCAUUUCCAGCAGCCCCGAUUUUUUUGGUUUUUUUUUCUUUUCUUUUCUUUGCUAAAGUUCUUUGAGAGAUAGACACAGCUUUUUCGUAGGUCGGUAACGUUGUGCAGCGUGAACCGUCAACCGAUUGUAUCCUGAGAAUCGAACACCGAUUAACACCUCUUGCACUCCGGUGAGGCGGCGAAUUCGAUUUAAGGAAACCGUGUAAACACGGGCCUUCGGUUUUGGUUGAUUUAUUCUGAUUCUCCAAUUUUUCCCUACAAGCUUAAAUCGAAUUCUCAUUUCUGAAAAUUUUGAGAAUCGGUUUUUUUUUCUGUCGUCUUUUUUUUUCACCUCCAGUUGUUUGUUGUUUACUUAAUUUGUCCUUUAGGAAAAAAGGCUGACAAUCUAUCUAUUUAAUUACGUGCAGUAAAUUUAUUAGGUUUAAAUCAGUAAGGUCGAAAGAAAAAAAAAUUGGUUUACAGGAACUUUCUUAGUUCAUGCCUGCGUGAUUUUGGUUCUACAGUUUAUUUUUCUCGAACAGAUAACUUGAUCUCAAAUCUAUAAUUAUUCUAAAUUGUUUGUUGCGUGUUCUAAGGUUAAAUGGCGUCACAUGGAAAUGAUGAUGUGAACAAUGGAAGCAACACUGUUGGGACCGCUGUGAACCCUGUGGAGACCUCGACUGGCAUUCCUCCUGUUGAUGGGACAAUUGGUGGCGGGAUUCCUCUUGUUGGAAUGAACCCCACUUUGCCUACG
This 1014-nucleotide long non-coding RNA is filed under the name Olea europaea (common olive). RNAcentral's name for it is "long non-coding RNA (OEUR_LNC010483)". Lineage: Eukaryota; Viridiplantae; Streptophyta; Magnoliopsida; Lamiales; Oleaceae. The record is from RNAcentral.